This 336-nucleotide long non-coding RNA is filed under the name Oryza brachyantha (malo sina). RNAcentral describes it as "long non-coding RNA (OBRA_LNC003570)". Lineage: Eukaryota; Viridiplantae; Streptophyta; Magnoliopsida; Poales; Poaceae. The record is from RNAcentral.
CCGCGCGAGCUCUAUAUAAAGCAAGCAAACCAACCCCUUCCUACACUACCACACACGCCUCUCGCGCUGCCCAAAUCGCCUAUAUCUCUCUCUCCCACACUGCUCAAGCAGCUAGCACAGCACACUCGAUCGAUCACGCCAUUUCUUCGAUCCUACCAGGCGUCGGCUGCCAUGGCGAGAAUGCUCCUUGAGGCGGCCUCCGGCUCGGUGGAGGACUCCCUCAACUCGGACCUGAUCGUCAUCCUCGCCGGCUUGCUCUGCGCGCUCGUCUGCGUCCUCGGCCUCGGCCUCGUCGCCCGGUGCGCGUGCUCGCGGCGCUGGGCACGGGGCGCCGGG